This 2533-nucleotide long non-coding RNA is filed under the name Canis lupus familiaris (dog). RNAcentral describes it as "lncRNA (ENSCAFG00000055822.1, ENSCAFG00805018134.1, ENSCAFG00845027295.1)". The record is from RNAcentral. Lineage: Eukaryota; Metazoa; Chordata; Mammalia; Carnivora; Canidae.
GACCCAGGGAACCUCACUGGACAGGGCGCCCCAGCCCCGGGGCAGGCGACGAGGAAGAGAGCCGCUGAAUUUGCAGCACACACUCUGAGGGUUUUGAAGCAAAACCAUGCCUGCUGCAGUGGAGAACUACUCCCUGGUUGAAGGCAACUUGUGGCGCACUUCUGGACUCGAGUAGAGACUCAGUGCCUGAUUAUGGGGCACCAAAUGGCCACGUGACCACAUCUGCCUGUCCUGAGCUAGAGAUCGACAGGUCCAUGAAGUCAACAGGUUAGGCAGGCUCAGUAGCAAUUCAUUGCACAGUGAAAAAGAAUUGGAUCCCAGCUUGUCCAGAGAGCACCAGUCAUUUAUAGGAUGAGGCGGCUGUGGCUUCCACGUCUCCUACGCUGUUGCCCCGAUGCCUCUGCCUUAGGAGACAGAAAGGAAAAUUCCGAUCUUCUGGUUCACAGGGAGAGAGUGGAGUGGACAGAGCUGUGGUCUAAGGAAAGAAUGCACGUGAAUUUCUGAGUGGUGACAGAUGUCUCUUUGGCUGCCCAGGGACGUGGGAAGAGCAAGAAGGGAAUGCUGGAGACAAGUCUGGGAAAGAUGAUGUGGAAGUCCUCACAAAUGUGUGCAUCUGUGUGCCUCAUGUUAAUGUCCACUGCAGAGGGGUCACCGAAUGACAAAAUGACUUGUUGCUUUGUCAGCUUCUGUCCUUGGCUACCCUUGUGCUUGGAUGGUGGGCCCAUGAAUGGAACUGCCAUGGUGGCAGCAGUGCUGGUUGUGUCUACUAGCGUGGGCUCUCUCUUAUCAAGACUUGUGUAAUUAUUACUGUGGCUGAAUUUCCGACCCCUGGUGUGGCACCAUCCCUGGAUGAUUCAGUGACAAGUUGGUUUCAGCAGAUCCUUUCCAUCCAGAAGAGGGCAUUGAUUCAUCCUUAAUGGAAGUGACACCUGCUCUGGAUGUGGGUUUGCUUUCCCAUAUCCACAUAUCCACAAUGUCUUAGGGAAGUAUCGCCAUCCAGAACCUUCAAGAAUGUUGGAUUUACCCACAUGGUAUCAUGCAUAAUAUUACUUUGGAUCAAAGAACUCAUUUUACAAUGAAAGAAAGAUGACAACAUUAUGAAUUGCCAUGGGAGCCACUGCUUCUCUAAUAUCCUGAAUUAGCCUCAAGCAGCCCAUCUGUUAGAAAGAUGGAAUGUUCUCUUAGAGACUUAGCAAAGGUCCCAGCUCUGGGACAGUAGCCUGAAGAGUGGGAUAUAUACCUUGAUUUAAAGCCCAGUGUGAGGUGCUGGGCCCCAGCGGAUACAACAUAUGGAUCCAGGAACAGACACAGGCCUAAGAGCCCAGGAUUGGGGAAAUCUCUCACCGUCGCUCUCAGCGAUCCGUUCGUAGAGUAUGUGCAUUCUGUCUCUAGCAUUAAACUCUGCUACACGGGUAGGGGAUAUUCCAUGAUGGGACCUCCACUGGUUGGAGGGAAGGGCACCCAUACCAGCCUCAGUGUGAACGUUCCAUGAGGUCACUGAACUCAUGCUUGUGAACCAGCAGAAAAAGGAGGGGAUAAUUGAUUUCUUUUUUUAAAAAAUAUUUAUUUAUUCAUGAGAGACACGGGGGUGGGGCAGAGACACAGGCAGAGGGAGAAGCAGGCUCCAUGCAGGGAGCCCGACACGGGACUCGAUCCCAGGACCCUGGGGUCACGCCCUGAGCUGAAGGUAGACGUCCGACCGCUGGGCCACUCAGGCGUCCCGAUAAUUGAUUUCUGAUGAUUGUGAGGAGAUCGGGUCUCUGCUGCUUAGGGACCAUCAAGAGCUUGCAUGGGACUUUGAGGAUUUACCUGGAUCUAUCUGGUUGCUUCCAUGCCAAGCGAUAACAGCGAAAAGCAUUUUCAUCGGCCUCAGCCUACCAAGGGCAAGAGAGGUUUCAUGAGUAACCCCAUGAAAUGCUGGCUAAGGGCGAGAGAAAUCUAGAAUAGGCAGGGAAGGAAAAUGAGUAUCAGAGCCCCAGGAGCAGCUGCAGGAGUGUGGACUAUUUUUGUUGUAUCGAGGCUUGCAUAGAGGCUGUGGCCAGGCUUCCUCUGGAAGACUCAUGACAGAUGGGACUUUCUGUGGUGCCCGAGUACAUCUGAGGGAUGUAUGUGCUGCUGUGCUGACUGAUGCCCUCGGCGCACCUUAAAUCACAGAGGAUCUGCAGAGCUACACUCUGGCACCUGCUGUGUGUCUUCAGCGUCUGCCCUCCUCUGAUGCCAGCACAGCCCAGGUGUCUGGAGGCGACCUCAGGGGCGGGGGACUGGAGGCAGUGGGUGAAUAAUGGGGCAGUCGCAGGAGGGCCGGUGAAGUCAGGGUUGUUCGCCGGCAGUGACCUCAGGAACACUGUGCUUUGGUUCCUCCUUUUCUUGCUCAGCCCCUCCCUCACUUCUGUUUCAGGAGAUCAGUUCCUGAACAAACCACGUACGCCCAAGUCUUCGUCAUAGGCUCUGCUUUCCAAAGAACCCAAACAAAGACACACCAUAAAAGAACAAAGAUUUUUGCCAAUUUAUAUCCACAAAAAAAAAAAAAAAA